This 433-nucleotide ribosomal RNA is filed under the name uncultured bacterium. Its description in RNAcentral is "partial 16S ribosomal RNA". It matches the Rfam family "Bacterial small subunit ribosomal RNA", at positions 29 to 507 of the family's 1533-position model. The record is from RNAcentral.
AACGAACGCUGGCGGCAUGCCUAACACAUGCAAGUCGAACGAGACCUUCGGGUCUAGUGGCGCACGGGUGCGUAACGCGUGGGAACCUGCCCUUAGGUUCGGGAUAACUCCCCGAAAGGGGUGCUAAUACCGGAUAAUGUCUUCGGACCAAAGAUUUAUCGCCUUUGGAUGGGCCCGCGUUGGAUUAGCUAGUUGGUGGGGUAAAAGCCUACCAAGGCGACGAUCCAUAGCUGGUCUGAGAGGAUGAUCAGCCACACUGGGACUGAGACACGGCCCAGACUCCUACGGGAGGCAGCAGUGGGGAAUAUUGGACAAUGGGCGAAAGCCUGAUCCAGCAAUGCCGCGUGAGUGAUGAAGGCCUUAGGGUUGUAAAGCUCUUUUACCCGGGAUGAUAAUGACAGUACCGGGAGAAUAAGCUCCGGCUAACUCCGUG